UACGGAGGGUGCAAGCAUUAAUCGGAUUAACUGGGCGUAAAGGGCGCGUAGGCGGCAAAUCAAGUCAGAUGUGAAAUUCCGAAGCUUAACUUCGGAGCUGCAUCUGAAACUGAUUAGCUAGUGGGUAGACGGAGAAAAUGGAAUUCCACAUGUAGCGGUGAAAUGCGUAGAUAUGUGGAGGAACACCGGUGGCGAAAGCGGUUUUCUAGUUUAUACCAGACGCUGAGGCGCGAAAGCGAGGGGAGCAAACAGG
RNAcentral lists this ribosomal RNA (253 nucleotides) under uncultured bacterium. RNAcentral describes it as "partial 16S ribosomal RNA". It matches the Rfam family "Bacterial small subunit ribosomal RNA", at positions 524 to 776 of the family's 1533-position model. The record is from RNAcentral.